UCGUAUUAUGCAUGCUCCGCCCAGUGCGAUUGAGAUUUAGAUUUAGAACCGCGAACGCGCGCGUUACACUCUGCUCGUAGAAACGAGACGCGCGAACUCUCUAUUACCGGCUAUUGCUUCGGUAAUAGAAGAAGAACGAGUAUGAACUAGACAAGAGAGAGGGGGGGAGGGAGAGGGAGAGAAAGAGGACAACGUUAUACGAGUCGCAUGUACAUCUCUUCCGUUCGUACGAGGGAAAAUGUUUCGUUGACGAAAAACUUUUGUGUCCACGAUGAACGUAACAGAGAGUUCGUCGCGACUCUGUAAAAAGAAGAUGCCAAGCGUGUGUAGAAAUGGAAGGUGGACACGUGGAAAAUCUUCUGUAAAUACCGAAAAUUCAAUAUUAAGGCAAUUAUGAUAGUAACAAACAGAAAUGUUUAUAUCUCAGAAAUGGUUGACAUUUCGACCUAUGUUUACUAAAGCAUUUUUACUCAGUACAAUGUAUCUUAUAUACUAUAUAAAUAUUAAAUGAUCUUUUUAACA
RNAcentral lists this long non-coding RNA (522 nucleotides) under Polistes fuscatus (common paper wasp). RNAcentral's name for it is "uncharacterized LOC122519829". The record is from RNAcentral. Lineage: Eukaryota; Metazoa; Arthropoda; Insecta; Hymenoptera; Vespidae.